This 354-nucleotide ribosomal RNA is filed under the name uncultured bacterium. RNAcentral describes it as "partial 16S ribosomal RNA". It matches the Rfam family "Bacterial small subunit ribosomal RNA", at positions 338 to 708 of the family's 1533-position model. The record is from RNAcentral.
CCUACGGGCGGCUGCAGUAGGGAAUUUUGCGCAAUGGGCGAAAGCCUGACGCAGCAACGCCGCGUGAUUGAUGAAGCCCUUCGGAGUGUAAAGAUCUGUCGGUGGGGACGAAACUUGACGGUACCCACAGAUGAAGCACCGGCUAACUCCGUGCCAGCAGCCGAGGUAAUACGGAGGUGCCAAGCUUUGUCCGGAAUCAUUGGGCGUAAAGAGUUCGUAGGUGGCAUAUUAAGUCUGGUGUUAAAUGCAGAGGCUCAACUUCAGUAGGGCAGUGGAUACUGGUAAGAUUGAUUACGGUAGAGGUAAGGGGAAUUCGUGGUGUAGCGGUGAAAUGCGUAGAUAUCAGGAGGAAGA